Molecule: long non-coding RNA, 1101 nt
Filed under: Oryctolagus cuniculus (rabbit)
Lineage: Eukaryota; Metazoa; Chordata; Mammalia; Lagomorpha; Leporidae
Description: lncRNA (ENSOCUG00000039628.1)
Source: RNAcentral
AUGCUUUUCGUGCCAACAGAUCAAAUGAAAGCUCAAAACUCUGAGGUCAGCAGACCAACAGCGAGCUCUGAAGUGUGGCCUCGUCUUGCUGUCCCUGAGACAGCUGUGGGGCCGGGCUCAGGGCCAACAGCGCCCCCACGCUUUGCCGUGUGGGGACUCUCACCGGAAGCACAGUGCUGCUCGGGGGCCGCGGAGGCAGGUCCGGGGGGCCGGCCCCUCUUGCUUCCCCCGGCCCCUGCCUACGGUGCGCCUCGCCCCCCAUCACCGCCCUCCCGGAAACUCCCUGUGCUUGCUGUGGGAGCGCUCGUUCCCGGGAGUCCUGCCCGCCGUGUUCUGUCAGGCCCGGCCCCUCGUUCGCAUGGAGCUCUGCAGAGGCUGCUGGGGUCCGGGGAGGACAGGCGGCCCGGCUGGACCUCGGCUUCCCGGCCACUUGGGCCCUUUGUGGGGGGGGCUCCCUCGGCUCUGUCCAGGGUUGCCUUCUGUCUGUGGAGCCUUCCCGGAGAGAGAGUUCUGACCCAGAGAGCUAACAGGUGGCUGCUGUUUCAUGAAAAAGCUGGAGAUGGAGCCGGGGCGGGGGGGCGGGGAGGGGGGGUGGACCUGGGUAGGGGAGGGGUGGAUCCCCAGCACUGGCCGGGAGGGGCGGUCAUGGCAGCCACCCCCUCCCCUCGCAGCCCCGCAGUCCCCAAAGCGUCCCCUGGACACGGCACCCCGCCUUCUCCGGGUGGACGCCGAGUCCUGAUGCCCAUGCCCACGCCCCUAAGCUGCUGUGCGGCCUUGGCCAAGCCCCAGCCGCUCUCGGCCCUGGUUACUAGGCACACUGUUAUCUGGGAGAGCCGACUGAGGCGCCUGUGCCACCACGCACGGGGCGGGGCGGGGAGCGUGGCGAGCUGGGAGGCGCUAACCACAGGCGUCCGGUGUAGUCAUGGGCAGAAUCCGCCUUCUCGACCUCGGCGGGGUGCCAGGUCCCCCUGGAGCCGCCCUCCUGCGUGCUCCCCCCAGAAUUCCUUUCACAUUCGAGUACAGCGGUGGGGGCAUCAAGCCAAACUCGGAAUAGCAUGCGUUUUUAAACCAAUAGCACUGCUCAUUAUUCUUUAUUUUUAA